GUUAGCCGAUGCUUAUUCUUCAGGUACACGUCAUUUUAUUCUUCCCUGAGAAAAGGGGUUUACAAUCCAAGAACCUUCCUCCCUCACGCGGUAUUGCUCCGUCAGGCUUUCGCCCAUUGCGGAAAAUUCCCCA
Molecule: ribosomal RNA, 133 nt
Filed under: uncultured bacterium
Lineage: Bacteria
Description: partial 16S ribosomal RNA
Source: RNAcentral